RNAcentral lists this ribosomal RNA (254 nucleotides) under uncultured bacterium. RNAcentral's name for it is "partial 16S ribosomal RNA". It matches the Rfam family "Bacterial small subunit ribosomal RNA", at positions 524 to 776 of the family's 1533-position model. The record is from RNAcentral.
CACGUAGGGUGCGAGCGUUGUCCGGAAUUAUUGGGCGUAAAGAGCUCGUAGGCGGUGUGUCGCGUCGGCCGUGAAAACCUGGGGCUUAACUCUGGGCUUGCGGUCGAUACGGGCAUCACUGGAGUUCGGCAGGGGAGACUGGAAUUCCUGGUGUAGCGGUGAAAUGCGCAGAUAUCAGGAGGAACACCGGUGGCGAAGGCGGGUUGCUGGGCUGAUACUGACGCUGAGGCGCGAAAGCCAGGGGAGCGAACGGG